Asparagus officinalis (garden asparagus) is the source of this 421-nucleotide long non-coding RNA. RefSeq lists it as uncharacterized. NCBI's taxonomy places the organism in Eukaryota, Viridiplantae, Streptophyta, Magnoliopsida, Asparagales, Asparagaceae. The record is from RefSeq and is a predicted model, not a curated record. The transcript has 3 exons.
UCCAAAGAUCAAGGUCCUUGCAAGUAGUGCUGUGUUUUACACACCAUUCUUGAGGCAGAUAUGGACAUGGUUAGGGCUGGUUCCAGCGUCCAGAAAGAAUUUUUACUCGUAUCUGAAAGCUGGCUAUAGUUGCAUAGUAGUGCCUGGUGGUGUUCAGGAAAUUAUCCAUAUGGACCAUAAAUCUGAGAUAUGGUGAGGAAGAAGGUGAUGAGGAAGAAGGUGAAGGAGAAGAAGAUGGCUUGAGUAAAUGUAUAGGGAAGAAGUUGAAGAAGCUUCUGCAGUGUCAUAGCCAUUGUAAAUAAUUUAUGUAAAAGUUUAUAAAUAAUUUAUGUAUCUCUCUACUAUUUUGGUGAAUGUAUUAUUUGAAUAUAAUGGGAUUUGAUAUUGAAAUAUAAUUAGAUUGUGUUGGAUAUGAAUAUAA